GCGCCUCUAGCUCAACGGCAGAGCAAUGGACUCUUAAUCCACAGGUUCUGGGUUCGAAUCCCAGGGGGCGCACCG
RNAcentral lists this transfer RNA (75 nucleotides) under uncultured Acidimicrobiales bacterium. RNAcentral's name for it is "tRNA-Lys-CTT". It matches the Rfam family "tRNA". Rfam says of the family: Transfer RNA (tRNA) molecules are approximately 80 nucleotides in length. Their secondary structure includes four short double-helical elements and three loops (D, anti-codon, and T loops). Lineage: Bacteria; Bacillati; Actinomycetota; Acidimicrobiia; Acidimicrobiales. The record is from RNAcentral.